RNAcentral lists this ribosomal RNA (305 nucleotides) under uncultured bacterium. RNAcentral's name for it is "bacterial SSU rRNA". It matches the Rfam family "Bacterial small subunit ribosomal RNA", at positions 338 to 660 of the family's 1533-position model. The record is from RNAcentral.
CCUACGGGAGGCAGCAGUGGGGAAUAUUGCACAAUGGGGGAAACCCUGAUGCAGCGACGCCGCGUGAAGGAAGAAGUAUUUCGGUAUGUAAACUUCUAUCAGCAGGGAAGAAAAUGACGGUACCUGACUAAGAAGCCCCGGCUAACUACGUGCCAGCAGCCGCGGUAAUACGUAGGGGGCAAGCGUUAUCCGGAUUUACUGGGUGUAAAGGGAGCGUAGACGGCUGAGCAAGUCUGAAGUGAAAGGCGGGGGCCCAACCCUCGGACUGCUUUGGAAACUGUAUAGCUAGAGUGCAGGAGAGGUAA